Molecule: ribosomal RNA, 546 nt
Filed under: uncultured Bacteroidota bacterium
Lineage: Bacteria; Pseudomonadati; Bacteroidota
Description: bacterial SSU rRNA
Rfam family: Bacterial small subunit ribosomal RNA
Source: RNAcentral
AGGGUUUGAUCAUGGCUCAGGAUGAACGCUAGCGACAGGCCUAACACAUGCAAGUCGAGGGGCAUCGGGGCGUAGCAAUACGCUGCCGGCGACCGGCGGAUGGGUGAGUAACGCGUAUGCAACCUGCCUUCAGCAGGGGGAUAGCCCGUUGAAAGACGGAUUAAUACCCCAUAACACAGGGGCUCCGCAUGGAGAUUAUUGUUAAAGGGACACUUCCUUCGGGGGGUAUUCCGGCUGAAGAUGGGCAUGCGUUCCAUUAGGUAGUUGGUUGAGGUAACGGCUCACCAAGCCUACGAUGGAUAGGGGAACUGAGAGGUUGGUCCCCCACACUGGUACUGAGACACGGACCAGACUCCUACGGGAGGCAGCAGUGAGGAAUCUUGGUCAAUGGACGGAAGUCUGAACCAGCCAUGUCGCGUGAAGGAGGACGGCCCUAAGGGUUGUAAACUUCUUUUGCAGGGGAAUAAAGUAUUCCACGUGAUGGGAUAUUGCAAGUACGCUGCGAAUAAGGAUCGGCUAACUCCGUGCCAGCAGCCGCGGUAAUAC